CAUGGGGAAGGAUGUAUUCAUAUGCCUUCACCAGCACAUGCAUUAAACAUGCAGAGAGUUACACAAGGUAGGGACUGAUCUCUGUAUACACUACACCCAUAAUUUCAAACCCUACUUUACGAUUGAGCUGAAGUUCUGACUAUUAUGACCUGUACUUUUACCUUUCUUAUAGUUCUUACCACCUUGGGGCACCAUUCAGGGUGCCUUUUCAUCUGAUUAAAGUUAUAAUGAACAGGGACAUUGCGGUUGUCCCAAGUGGAUGGUAUGAUGAUAGGAUGAUUUUCUGGCCCAGCUAUAAAAACACCGACAGAAUUGAAAGGGCCGCUUUAAAUGAGGAGCAGCAUGAGCCAAACUGGCCAAGAUUUGACGUUUCUGUUGUCCGAACUUGUGACAACUACAAAGACGCAUUAAAAAUAAUGCAACAAUAUGGAAAGGGAUGCACUACCUCAGACCUGCAAUCUGAGGCAGAGAAUGAGGAGCUGCCAGAAAAAAGGAUCAGGAAGCCAGUCCAUCGUCUCGGGGACUCAGAUGAUAGCAAAGAAGACCCGGGAAAUAGUGACCUCACAUCUCUGGGGUUGGCAAGCCAAUUGCACAGGCAGACUCCACCGUCUCGCCGAGUGCCAGCAAGAGUCAUGAGUACUUGUCAACUCGACUCCUCAACUGGAGAUAACUUUCUAGCACCUCACCAUGGGGAAGGACGCAUUCAUAUGCCUUCACCAGCACCUGCAUUAAACAUGCAGAGAGUUACACAAUGAACGGCAGUCCCUCCUCGACUCCCUCCACCCCCCUCACCAGCAGCCCUCAACAUGUGGCAGACAGAGGAGCCUGGAUCCAGCCUGGCCUACAGGCCAACAUGGCGAGGGGGAAGAAUGGCCGAAAACAUUUUCUGCUCUGCGCCUGAGGUAAUCCACAUCCUUAGCCUACUGGAAACUAUUAAGCACAACCAAGACCAGCUGAUUGCGAAGGUGCUGUGAGUAAAAAUGUGUUGACAAGGUCAGCCACGGACGCUGAGGUCACCAAACACGCCAUCAGGUGGUUCAACUUGGCGGGGGAUCGGGCAACGAGGAGACGAGUCCCGCUUCCACCUCCUCAGGAGGAAUAGAGAUGUAUAUGUAUAA
Molecule: long non-coding RNA, 1118 nt
Organism: Entelurus aequoreus (snake pipefish)
Lineage: Eukaryota; Metazoa; Chordata; Actinopteri; Syngnathiformes; Syngnathidae
Exons: 9
Source: RefSeq, a predicted model, not a curated record